Molecule: long non-coding RNA, 515 nt
Filed under: Bos taurus (domestic cattle)
Lineage: Eukaryota; Metazoa; Chordata; Mammalia; Artiodactyla; Bovidae
Description: long non-coding RNA NONBTAT024178
Source: RNAcentral
CCAAACUAUAAAGAAACUUUACUUAAAACUAAUAUGUCAUUGUAUUCAAGAGAAUAGAGCUAAGCAGGAAUCCUGUUUAAAAAAAAAUAUUCCUUGAACUCAUUCCAUUGAUAACACCUGUACUAAUGACUCAUGUCCACACUUUCUUGACUUUUGACAGAAUAAUGCAGAAAUCAGAUCUAGAAUCAUAGGUUAUGUUAUAAUACCCAUGCUAAAAAAAACUAGAUAUGGAACCAUAGUUACUAAAUCUUGAUCUGUCCACUGUACAUUUCAAGGAUUUGGAACCAAGAAGCAUCCUUUCUAAUUUUGAAAUCAGGGAAAUCUUUCUCUUCUGAAGAUUUAUAAAAAUGCUGGUACCAUAGAUACAUUUUCAUGUUCUUUAAAGAGAACUCAUUUUGAAGCUUUGAAAUGACUGAAAAGGGCCUGGGCCGUGAUGCUUCCCUUUAGUUAUUUUGCUUGAUCUGCAUAUUACUUUGGGAAGAAAACACAACAUAGUAAAAUAAAAUUUACAACAG